UACGUAGGGUGCAAGCGUUGUCCGGAAUUAUUGGGCGUAAAGAGCUCGUAGGCGGUCUGUCGCGUCUGCUGUGAAAACUCAGGGCUUAACCCUGAGCUUGCAGUGGGUACGGGCAGACUAGAGUGCGGUAGGGGAGACUGGAAUUCUUGGUGUAGCGGUGAAAUGCGUAGAUAUCAAGAGGAACACCUGCGGCGAAGGCGGGUUGCUGGGCCGACACUGACGCUGAGGCGCGAAAGCUAGGGGAGCGAACGGG
RNAcentral lists this ribosomal RNA (253 nucleotides) under uncultured bacterium. Its description in RNAcentral is "partial 16S ribosomal RNA". It matches the Rfam family "Bacterial small subunit ribosomal RNA", at positions 524 to 776 of the family's 1533-position model. The record is from RNAcentral.